RNAcentral lists this ribosomal RNA (253 nucleotides) under uncultured bacterium. RNAcentral's name for it is "partial 16S ribosomal RNA". It matches the Rfam family "Bacterial small subunit ribosomal RNA", at positions 524 to 776 of the family's 1533-position model. The record is from RNAcentral.
UACGUAGGGUGCGAGCGUUAAUCGGAAUUACUGGGCGUAAAGCGUGCGCAGGCGGUGCUGUAAGACCGAUGUGAAAUCCCCGGGCUUAACCUGGGAACUGCAUUGGUGACUGCAGCGCUGGAGUAUGGCAGAGGGGGGUGGAAUUCCAGCGUGUAGCAGUGAAAUGCGUAGAGAUGUGGAGGACACCGAUGGCGAAGGCAGCCCCCUGGGCCAAUACUGACGCUCAUGCACGAAAGCGUGGGGAGCAAACAGG